This 431-nucleotide ribosomal RNA is filed under the name uncultured bacterium. Its description in RNAcentral is "partial 16S ribosomal RNA". It matches the Rfam family "Bacterial small subunit ribosomal RNA", at positions 29 to 507 of the family's 1533-position model. The record is from RNAcentral.
AGCGAACGCUGGCGGCAGGCUUAACACAUGCAAGUCGAGCGCCCCGCAAGGGGAGCGGCAGACGGGAGAGUAACACGUGGGAACAUACCUUUUGGUUCGGAACAACUGAGGGAAACUUCAGCUAAUACCGGAUAAGCCCUUACGGGGAAAGAUUUAUCGCCGAAAGAUUGGCCCGCGUCUGAUUAGCUAGUUGGUGAGGUAACGGCUCACCAAGGCGACGAUCAGUAGCUGGUCUGAGAGGAUGAUCAGCCUCACUGGGACUGAGACACGGCCCAGACUCCUACGGGAGGCAGCAGUGGGGAAUAUUGGACAAUGGGGGCAACCCUGAUCCAGCCAUGCCGCGUGAGUGAUGAAGGCCUUAGGGUUGUAAAGCUCUUUUGCCCGGGAAGAUAAUGACGGUACCGGGAGAAUAAGCCCCGGCUAGCUUCGUG